This 2916-nucleotide ribosomal RNA is filed under the name Vibrio parahaemolyticus O1:K33 str. CDC_K4557. RNAcentral's name for it is "bacterial LSU rRNA". It matches the Rfam family "Bacterial large subunit ribosomal RNA". The record is from RNAcentral. Lineage: Bacteria; Pseudomonadati; Pseudomonadota; Gammaproteobacteria; Vibrionales; Vibrionaceae.
GUUGUAUGGUUAAGUGACUAAGCGUACACGGUGGAUGCCUUGGCAGUCAGAGGCGAUGAAAGACGUAGUAACUUGCGAUAAGCCCAGAUUAGGUAGUAACAACCAUUUGAGUCUGGGAUUUCUGAAUGGGGAAACCCACGUGCAUAAGCACGUAUCCUUACCUGAAUACAUAGGGUAAGGAGGCGAACCGGGGGAACUGAAACAUCUAAGUACCCCGAGGAAAAGAAAUCAACCGAGAUUCCGAAAGUAGCGGCGAGCGAAAUUGGACUAGCCCUUAAGCUUUACACGCGUUAGACGAACGGUCUGGAAAGUCCGACGAUACAGGGUGAUAGUCCCGUAGUUGACGACGUGUGUUCAGUGAAAUCGAGUAGGGCGGGACACGUGAUAUCCUGUCUGAAUAUGGGGGGACCAUCCUCCAAGGCUAAAUACUACUGACUGACCGAUAGUGAACCAGUACCGUGAGGGAAAGGCGAAAAGAACCCCUGUGAGGGGAGUGAAAUAGAACCUGAAACCGUGUACGUACAAGCAGUAGGAGCAGGCUUUGUCCUGUGACUGCGUACCUUUUGUAUAAUGGGUCAGCGACUUAUAUUCAGUGGCAAGGUUAACCAUCUAGGGGAGCCGUAGGGAAACCGAGUCUUAACUGGGCGUUCAGUCUCUGGAUAUAGACCCGAAACCAGGUGAUCUAGCCAUGGGCAGGUUGAAGGUUGAGUAACAUCAACUGGAGGACCGAACCGACUAAUGUUGAAAAAUUAGCGGAUGACUUGUGGCUAGGGGUGAAAGGCCAAUCAAACCUGGAGAUAGCUGGUUCUCCCCGAAAGCUAUUUAGGUAGCGCCUCGGACGAAUACUACUGGGGGUAGAGCACUGUUAAGGCUAGGGGGUCAUCCCGACUUACCAACCCUUUGCAAACUCCGAAUACCAGUAAGUACUAUCCGGGAGACACACGGCGGGUGCUAACGUCCGUCGUGGAGAGGGAAACAACCCAGACCGCCAGCUAAGGUCCCAAAUUACUACUAAGUGGGAAACGAUGUGGGAAGGCUCAGACAGCCAGGAUGUUGGCUUAGAAGCAGCCAUCAUUUAAAGAAAGCGUAAUAGCUCACUGGUCGAGUCGGCCUGCGCGGAAGAUGUAACGGGGCUAAGUAGUAAACCGAAGCUGCGGCAAUAUACUUUUGUAUAUUGGGUAGGGGAGCGUUCUGUAAGCGGUUGAAGGUGUGUGGUAACGCAUGCUGGACGUAUCAGAAGUGCGAAUGCUGACAUGAGUAACGAUAAAGGGGGUGAAAAACCUCCUCGCCGGAAGACCAAGGGUUCCUGUCCAACGUUAAUCGGGGCAGGGUAAGUCGACCCCUAAGGCGAGGCCGAAAGGCGUAGUCGAUGGGAAACGGGUUAAUAUUCCCGUACUUCUUACAAUUGCGAUGGGGGGACGGAGAAGGCUAGGUGGGCCUGGCGACGGUUGUCCAGGUUCAAGUGCGUAGGCUUAAGAGUUAGGUAAAUCCGGCUCUUUCUAAGGCUGAGACACGACGUCGAGCACCUACGGGUGUGAAGUCAUUGAUGCCAUGCUUCCAGGAAAAGCCUCUAAGCUUCAGAUUGUAAGGAAUCGUACCCCAAACCGACACAGGUGGUCGGGUAGAGAAUACCAAGGCGCUUGAGAGAACUCGGGUGAAGGAACUAGGCAAAAUGGUACCGUAACUUCGGGAGAAGGUACGCUCUCGACGGUGAAGUCCCUCGCGGAUGGAGCUAUUGAGAGUCGCAGAUACCAGGUGGCUGCAACUGUUUAUUAAAAACACAGCACUGUGCAAAAUCGUAAGAUGACGUAUACGGUGUGACGCCUGCCCGGUGCCGGAAGGUUAAUUGAUGGGGUUAGACUUCGGUCGAAGCUCUUGAUCGAAGCCCCGGUAAACGGCGGCCGUAACUAUAACGGUCCUAAGGUAGCGAAAUUCCUUGUCGGGUAAGUUCCGACCUGCACGAAUGGCGUAAUGAUGGCCACGCUGUCUCCACCCGAGACUCAGUGAAAUUGAAAUCGCUGUGAAGAUGCAGUGUACCCGCGGCUAGACGGAAAGACCCCGUGAACCUUUACUACAGCUUGGCACUGAACAUUGACCCUACAUGUGUAGGAUAGGUGGGAGGCUUUGAAGCACGUACGCCAGUAUGUGUGGAGCCGUCCUUGAAAUACCACCCUUGUAGUGUUGAUGUUCUAACGUCGACCCCUUAUCGGGGUUGCGGACAGUGCCUGGUGGGUAGUUUGACUGGGGCGGUCUCCUCCCAAAGAGUAACGGAGGAGCACGAAGGUGGGCUAAUCACGGUUGGACAUCGUGAAGUUAGUGCAAUGGCAUAAGCCCGCUUGACUGCGAGAAUGACAAUUCGAGCAGGUGCGAAAGCAGGUCAUAGUGAUCCGGUGGUUCUGAAUGGAAGGGCCAUCGCUCAACGGAUAAAAGGUACUCCGGGGAUAACAGGCUGAUACCGCCCAAGAGUUCAUAUCGACGGCGGUGUUUGGCACCUCGAUGUCGGCUCAUCACAUCCUGGGGCUGAAGUCGGUCCCAAGGGUAUGGCUGUUCGCCAUUUAAAGUGGUACGCGAGCUGGGUUUAGAACGUCGUGAGACAGUUCGGUCCCUAUCUGCCGUGGGCGUUGGAAGAUUGAAGGGGGCUGCUCCUAGUACGAGAGGACCGGAGUGGACGAACCUCUGGUGUUCGGGUUGUGUCGCCAGACGCAUUGCCCGGUAGCUAAGUUCGGAAUCGAUAACCGCUGAAAGCAUCUAAGCGGGAAGCGAGCCCUGAGAUGAGUCUUCCCUGAUACUUUAAGUAUCCUAAAGGGUUGUCGGAGACUACGACGUUGAUAGGUCAGGUGUGUAAGUGCUGUGAGGCAUUGAGCUAACUGAUACUAAUUACCCGUGAGGCUUAACCAUACAACACCCAAGGGGUUU